GGCAGUCCAGCCGCAGGGGCCACCCGAACAGUCUCUCCUCCUCACAGAAGCCUGGAGCUGGGCAUCCAAGAAGAAGCAGCCUCAUUUGUUUUCUGGUGUCAUCGUAGGUGGCCACCUAUGGCUUUUGGGCUUCUCACCUGGGGCGGGUGGGUUCUGCACCACCCUCCCACCCUCCUUCCUCCGUGUGGACGAUAGAGCCACAUCCAGCACCACGGACAGCUCCCGGGCGAUCCCAUGGGAGUAGAAGAGGUGUGAGCAGGUUGCCCAGCUGGUUAGCGGAAAUGCCAAGAUCCAGGCUCCUGAAUUUCAGCCUGGCCCUUUCUAUCUGUCUGAUACCUCCUUUACGAGUCUCUCUGCCUGCGUUGUGUGGAGCGGGCCUGCUGCUGGUUGGGGGAGUUUGCAGGUUGCCCCUAUGCAAAAAAGGACAGGAUGCAUGACUGGCAUACCAAAAAGAAGAAUGUACUUCAUCUGGUUGGGCUGGAUUCCCUCUGAUAAGCCUUCCCAGUUGACUGAAAGAUGAGGCUAGGCUCUAGCAAGUUGAAGUCAAACCAGCUCCUUCAAGAAGCUUUGAGCAGAAUGAAGUGGGGAGGACCCAGCUUCCAGCCCAGGAAGCCCACUGUACCUGGAGCCAUCUGGGAUAAGACUUUGACCCAUGACUCCCAUAUCCACAGCCUGUCCAUCCUAGCCCAUCCCAGUUUAUCCUGUAUCAUUUGAGCUGGGAUUCCCACAUCCUCUGAGUUGGAAGUCCCAUCUCAAGUCUUCAAUAAAGACUCUUGAAUAUUGAAUCACA
Molecule: long non-coding RNA, 790 nt
Organism: Homo sapiens (human)
Lineage: Eukaryota; Metazoa; Chordata; Mammalia; Primates; Hominidae
Gene: MIR9-1HG
Product: MIR9-1 host gene
Source: Ensembl